This 54-nucleotide unclassified non-coding RNA is filed under the name Amyloodinium ocellatum. Its description in RNAcentral is "partial 3' external transcribed spacer". Lineage: Eukaryota; Dinophyceae; Thoracosphaerales; Thoracosphaeraceae. The record is from RNAcentral.
UUCCUCACGUAAGUAUACAUACAUGUGGAAGUCUUCGCCAACCAUCGAUCGCCU